AGAGUUUGAUCCUGGCUCAGAGCGAACGCUGGCGGCGUGCUUAACACAUGCAAGUCGAACGGGUGUAGCAAUACAUCCGUGGCGAACGGGUGCGUAACACGUGGAUAACCUUCCUUCAGGUGGGGAAUAACCCAGUGAAAAUUGGGCUAAUACCGCAUAACAAGACGAUGCCACAUGGUGUUGUCUUCAAAGCCGCAAGGCGCCAGAAGAGGGAUCCGCGGCCGAUUAGCUUGUUGGCGAGGUAAUGGCUCACCAAGGCAAUGAUCGGUAGCCGGACUGAGAGGUUGGCCGGCCACACUGGAACUGAGACACGGUCCAGACUCCUACGGGAGGCAGCAGUGGGGAAUCUUGCACAAUGGACGAAAGUCUGAUGCAGCAACGCCGCGUGGGGGAUGAAGCUUCUCGGAGUGUAAACCCCUUUCGACCUGGAAGAAUGCCCGCAAGGGUUUGACGGUACAGGUAUAAGAAGCCCCGGCUAACUACGUGCCAGCAGCCGCGGUAAUACGUAGGGGGCCAGCGUUGCUCGGAAUUACUGGGCGUAAAGGGUCCGUAGGCGGUGUGGUAAGUCGGGAGUGAAAUCCCUGGGCUUAACCCAGGGGCUGCUUCCGAAACUGCCGUGCUAGAGUGUGAGAGAGGCGAGUGGAAUUACGGGUGUAGCGGUGAAAUGCGUAGAUAUCCGUAGGAACAUCCGAGGCGAAAGCGGCUCGCUGGAUCACAACUGACGCUGAGGGACGAAAGCUAGGGGAGCAAACAGGAUUAGAUACCCUGGUAGUCCUAGCCCUAAACCAUCAGACUUGGGGUUUGCCCUGUACGGGGCAAGUCCCGUAGCUAACGCGUUAAGUCCUGCGCCUGGGGGAGUACGGUCGCA
This 868-nucleotide ribosomal RNA is filed under the name uncultured bacterium. RNAcentral's name for it is "bacterial SSU rRNA". It matches the Rfam family "Bacterial small subunit ribosomal RNA", at positions 8 to 890 of the family's 1533-position model. The record is from RNAcentral.